UACGUAGGGGCCGAGCGUUGUCCGGAGUUACUGGGCGUAAAGCGCGCGCAGGCGGCUCGUCAAGCCUGACGUGAAAGCCCCCGGCUCAACCGGGGAGAGUCGUCGGGGACCGCACCGCUUGAGGGCGGUAGGGGCUGGUGGAAUGCCUGGUGUAGUGGUGAAAUGCGUAGAGAUCAGGCAGAACACCUGGGGCGAAGGCGGCCAGCUGGGCCGUCCCUGACGCUGAGGCGCGAAGGCGUGGGGAGCGAACGGG
RNAcentral lists this ribosomal RNA (253 nucleotides) under uncultured bacterium. RNAcentral's name for it is "partial 16S ribosomal RNA". It matches the Rfam family "Bacterial small subunit ribosomal RNA", at positions 524 to 776 of the family's 1533-position model. The record is from RNAcentral.